UCUUGAAUGGUCUAGUGGUCAGGAUACCUGCUUGUCAUUAGAACAAUUCGCAGGUGGCCGGGGUUCGAUUCCCCGUUCGAGAG
Molecule: transfer RNA, 83 nt
Filed under: Poronia punctata
Lineage: Eukaryota; Fungi; Ascomycota; Sordariomycetes; Xylariales; Xylariaceae
Description: tRNA-Asp
Rfam family: tRNA
About the family: Transfer RNA (tRNA) molecules are approximately 80 nucleotides in length.
Source: RNAcentral